This is a long non-coding RNA of Gigantopelta aegis, 412 nucleotides long. RefSeq lists it as uncharacterized. Lineage: Eukaryota; Metazoa; Mollusca; Gastropoda; Neomphalida; Peltospiridae. The transcript has 2 exons. The record is from RefSeq and is a predicted model, not a curated record.
CCUAUAUGUACUUUAUGUUCUUGACACAUAACAAACAUAACAAUCAAUGAUUUCAUUCUCUAUUGAUCCCACGAGUCUCAUUUUAUUACCAAACAAUUACGUCUCAGUGUCGAUCAAUAGUAUUUUCCACUUAACAAUAAAUGCUUUUCCACGGGUCAUUCAAUGCACAGAUGAGUGGAGUAAAACAUGUGUUAUGUUAUUAACACUGAUAAAAGAAAGAAAAAAUGAGAGGUCGUGUUCACCUUCUUCCAGAAAUUACUUAGAAAAGAAUGUUUGUUAAGCGACACCCCAACACACUGUUUAUUCAGUGGCUGUUAGUGUUACGUCUCUAACAUGCAGUAUUUGUACUGAGGAGAUAUGUUCCACUCUGGAUUAUCACAUGAAUAUUAAAGUAUAUAAAUAAAAAUUAGAA